This 700-nucleotide ribosomal RNA is filed under the name uncultured bacterium. RNAcentral's name for it is "bacterial SSU rRNA". It matches the Rfam family "Bacterial small subunit ribosomal RNA", at positions 61 to 762 of the family's 1533-position model. The record is from RNAcentral.
GUCGAACGGAGCUAAUAGCAAUAUUAGUUUAGUGGCGCACGGGUGAGUAACGCGUACACAACAUGCCUUUAAUCGAGGGAUAGCCUUGGGAAACUGGGAGUAAUACCUCAUAGUAUUAUUGUUCGGCAUCGGAUGGUAAUUAAAGUUACGGCGAUUAAAGAUUGGUGUGCGUCUGAUUAGGUAGUUGGUGAGGUAACGGCUCACCAAGCCAUCGAUCAGUAGGGGGCGUGAGAGCGUGACCCCCCACACGGGUACUGAGACACGGACCCGACUCCUACGGGAGGCAGCAGUAGGGAAUAUUGGGCAAUGGAGGCAACUCUGACCCAGCCAUGCCGCGUGAACGAAGAAGGCGCUCUGCGUCGUAAAGUUCUUUUAGAGGGGGCGAAAAUGCGAGAUUUAUCUUGUACUGACGGUACCUUCGGAAUAAGCACCGGCUAACUCUGUGCCAGCAGCCGCGGUAAUACAGAGGGUGCAAGCGUUAUCCGGAAUCACUGGGUUUAAAGGGUGCGUAGGCGGGAAGAUAAGUCAAGGGUGAAAGCUCGUCGCUUAACGACGGAAUUGCCUUUGAUACUGUUUUUCUUGAAAUAUGUUGAGGUUGGCGGAAUGAGACAUGUAGCGGUGAAAUGCUUAGAUAUGUCUUAGAACACCGAUUGCGAAGGCAGCUGACUGGACAUUAUUUGACGCUGAGGCACGAAAGCGU